AGCUCCAAUAGCGUAUAUUAAAGUUGUUGAGGUUAAAAAGCUCGUAGUUGAACCUUGGGCCUGGCUGGCCGGUCCGCCUCACCGCGUGCACUGGUCCGGCCGGGCCUUUCCCUCUGGGGAGCCCCAUGCCCUUUACUGGGCGUGGCGGGGAACCAGGACUUUUACUUUGAAAAAAUUAGAGUGUUCAAAGCAGGCCUAUGCUCGAAUACAUUAGCAUGGAAUAAUAGAAUAGGACGUGUGGUUCUAUUUUGUUGGUUUCUAGGACCGCCGUAAUGAUUAAUAGGGACAGUCGGGGGCGUCAGUAUUCAAUUGUCAGAGGUGAAAUUCUUGGAUUUAUUGAAGACUAACUACUGCGAAAGCAUUCGUCAAGGAUGUUUUCA
This 380-nucleotide ribosomal RNA is filed under the name uncultured eukaryote. RNAcentral's name for it is "SSU rRNA". It matches the Rfam family "Eukaryotic small subunit ribosomal RNA", at positions 587 to 972 of the family's 1831-position model. The record is from RNAcentral.